This 153-nucleotide ribosomal RNA is filed under the name Escherichia sp. Its description in RNAcentral is "partial 16S rRNA". It matches the Rfam family "Bacterial small subunit ribosomal RNA", at positions 284 to 436 of the family's 1533-position model. The record is from RNAcentral. Lineage: Bacteria; Pseudomonadati; Pseudomonadota; Gammaproteobacteria; Enterobacterales; Enterobacteriaceae.
UAACUGGUCUGAGAGGAUGAUCAGUCACACUGGAACUGAGACACGGUCCAGACUCCUACGGGAGGCAGCAGUGGGGAAUAUUGCACAAUGGGCGCAAGCCUGAUCCAGCCAUGCCGCGUGUAUGAAGAAGGUCUUCGGAUUGUAAAGCACUUU